GAGUGUAGAGAGAGACUGAAUGAUAAAUAAAGGGUAAUAGUUUGAUGGGAGAAUGUUUUGUAGGAUUCUUGUGCAGGGUAGUUGCGAGGAAGAUCCACCUGUUCUUCUCCCACACGCCAUUGUUAGUUUAGUCUCUCCGCAUGCUACCCCGGCCAGCCUCCUCACCAUGGCCGCCGUGGAGAGAGAAGAAGGGCGGUCCUAUUGUAUAAUCCUAGCCUAUGCGCUGCGUUAGGCAGGCUGCACUGACAUUCCUUGGGUCCCACAGUGACAGCG
RNAcentral lists this long non-coding RNA (273 nucleotides) under Setaria viridis. RNAcentral describes it as "long non-coding RNA (SVIR_LNC002384)". Lineage: Eukaryota; Viridiplantae; Streptophyta; Magnoliopsida; Poales; Poaceae. The record is from RNAcentral.